Molecule: long non-coding RNA, 367 nt
Organism: Sciurus carolinensis (gray squirrel)
Lineage: Eukaryota; Metazoa; Chordata; Mammalia; Rodentia; Sciuridae
Exons: 3
Source: RefSeq, a predicted model, not a curated record
GGGAGGACUACAAGGAAACUGGUAGCUUUCCUGGAUAGGAGACAGUGGAACUAGGCGUAAGGACCGAGAGGCGGAGCUCACAAAAAGAAUCGGUUGAUGGUUAGCUACUGAGAGAAAGAAACCAGAGCUUCUUGGAGAAGUAGGUGAUUCCAGGUCUGGGGCAGGAGAUAUGCAAGUCGAGUGUGGAACAGUUAACCAUACUAGAUGUGGAAGAAGCAAGUAGGAACUAUAAGGAUAGAUAUGUCAAAAAGACUCAGGGGCCUCACUCACAUGGCCAAAGGUACCAGGGAUUGAAUCCAGGGGUGCUAUGCCACUGAGAUCCAUCUCCAGCAUUAUUUGUUUAUUAUUUUAAAACUAUUAUUAUUAC